This 39726-nucleotide long non-coding RNA is filed under the name Citrus sinensis (sweet orange). RNAcentral describes it as "long non-coding RNA (CSIN_LNC002075)". The record is from RNAcentral. Lineage: Eukaryota; Viridiplantae; Streptophyta; Magnoliopsida; Sapindales; Rutaceae.
AAAUCUCCACCACCUCCACCACCGGUUCACAAGUCUCCACCACCACCCCCAGAUUACAAGUCCCCGCCACCUCCUCCACCAGCCUACGAGCCUGCUCCGCCACCAACUCCAAUUUUCCCUUCUCCGCCACCUCCUGUCCCCAUCCCCAAGUUCACACCACCACCGCCUCACCCUUACGUCUAUGCAUCUCCCCCUCCUCCUCACUACUACUAGCAGAGCAAGAUAGCGAUCGAUCGAGCUGCCGCGUUUGAUUCUUUUUUAUCUUUUUUUUUUAAUGAAGAAUAAACAGCCACAUGUAGAAAGUAGAAACAGAAAAGUUCUUGUCAUUUUCAUGCUUGUGGAUUGUUGCUGUGUGUGUCAAUCGAAUCUCUGAUGCGUCUUUUGUAAUCUUCAGCUUUUAUGCAUGCAAAUGCGAGACCUUUUUCGUAUAAUAAAAUUAAUAUACUUCCCAAGUUGUUCUUAUCUUGCGUUGAACUUUAUGUUCCUUUGGUGAUGAUUGUGACGUUUAAAAUUGAUGACUAUUGGUUUUGUAAGCUCUACAUGGAUUUUUCGUGCAACUAUAGAGCACAUUGACGAGAGUCUUAUCCAUGAGGGUGUUGGGUAAAAAAUUCAGGUUUUUAAAUUUUUUAUAAAACCUUUUGAAGAUCGCUCUAAUAUAAUAUAUAAGAAUUUGUAAUCUAGAAAUCGUUCCUUGAAAAUCCAAUUUGGCUUUUUCCGUUGAAGUGAUUUAGGCUCCUAGAUCACUGUGUCAAUCGAAUCUCUGAUGCGUCUUUUGUAAUCUUCAGCUUUUAUGCAUGCAAAUGCGAGACCUUUUUCGUAUAAUAAAAUUAAUAUACUUCCCAAGUUGUUCUUAUCUUGCGUUGAACUUUAUGUUCCUUUGGUGAUGAUUGUGACGUUUAAAAUUGAUGACUAUUGGUUUUGUAAGCUCUACAUGGAUUUUUCGUGCAACUAUAGAGCACAUUGACGAGAGUCUUAUCCAUGAGGGUGUUGGGUAAAAAAUUCAGGUUUUUAAAUUUUUUAUAAAACCUUUUGAAGAUCGCUCUAAUAUAAUAUAUAAGAAUUUGUAAUCUAGAAAUCGUUCCUUGAAAAUCCAAUUUGGCUUUUUCCGUUGAAGUGAUUUAGGCUCCUAGAUCACGAUCCGCCACCACCACUCCUUUUGGAUCACGAUCCGUCACCACCACGCUUAUUAGAUCACGAACUGUCACCAAUCAUCUUCCAGGUUAUGACUCAGGUUUGAUCUGCACUUGACGUGUGGGCGCCUUUAUCACUACCAAAGCAACUAGCACGAGAAAAUUUUUCUCUCAACAAUAGAGAGAAAAAACUUUUUCUCUAAUCUGUAUAAAGUGGCUUUUCCAUUUUCUUUAGAGAAAAUAAGUCUUUUAUAUCUCCCUUUAGUGAAAACGCUAGGCUCCAAAAAUAAAAAAACAAAACUCACCUUAUUUGCUUUUUCUAUAGGGGACCCACCUUGUAAAAUAACAUAAGGCCCCUUACACAAAAGCUAAUUAAAUGGAGCCUCCNNNNNNNNNNNNNNNNNNNNNNNNNNNNNNNNNNNNNNNNNNNNNNNNNNNNNNNNNNNNNNNNNNNNNNNNNNNNNNNNNUACUCUGGCCAGAGAAUUCUAUGAUCAAGUGUCGAAAACCGAUCAAGAGAUGUGUUGUACAAAUUCUAUAUUGUUAAUCCAUAACUCCAAUACUCAUAAUUGCUCCCACCAAGAUACCGGGUAAUCUUGACCACAAGGAUGUGUCGUGCCCAUUGGUAACUCAAAUGGAAUAACAAUUACAAUCAUGAAAUCAUAAUUAACUCAAGAUUAAGAUUACAGUAAAAUCAAUGCCUAUGAGAUUUAAUAAGUUUUCCAGUUAUUACAAAGUUAAUUAAAUCUCAUAUGUGAUCUUGUUCAAUGUAGUCGUACUACAUCAAUAAAUUCAUACAUGAUUAAGAUAAAUCAUUCAAUGAAUUUAUUACAGUCUAUACCUAAAUAAAGUGCCAAGCUUUAUUUAUCAACUGCGAACUAAAUUUAUUUAAUCAUAAGAUAACUUGUAUUUAUGUCUUCUGUGAAUCCACAUGGUGAUCACAUAAAUACAUAUAAUAUGAUUAAAUGGACUUUAAUACAAAUAUUAAUGCAAUUAAGAUAUUUGAAUAAAAUACCUCAUUUAUUUUAUUAAUCAAAAAAAUUAUUUAUUACAAUUAAAUAAACACAUGUGCUUUUAAAGAGCAUAUUUUCCCAACAGAGGGUCCAUGCAGAUUAGUGUCUAUUAACCAAUAAUUAAUAUAACUUAAAAAAAUAUAGUUAAUCAGUCAUGCUCGAGUGCAAAUGUUGGUACAAAAUUUCGUGCCAAUGUGUACUUGAGUAGGAUUAUGAGUUUUAAUCAUUAUUAAUAAUUCACUUGAUAAUAUUAAACGAAUUUUCACAUCAAUUAAGUUAUAAUAUUGAUUACCUUAUAUAUUUACUGAUUUUGUAUUUAAAUUGAAUAAUAAUAGUUUUGGUUUUAUAGGGAAAAGGACUAACGCACACCAAAUGUUUACGGAAAUGGAUAUGAAAGUCCCUAACAUUUUGAAAAAGACUCUUAAACCCCAAAUUAUUAAUAAAUUCUAUUAAUUUUAAUAAAAAAAAUUAUUUUCAACUUAUAAUUACCAUUACCUCCCUAAAACAUACCAGUCAAUAUAUUAACUUGCCAUUUUGCCCAUAAUUUAUUAAUAAAAUUAUGAAUAUACCCAAAUUUAUAAGGGUUGAAAUGCAUGUACCAUAUCCAAUGUCCCUACAAAUUAGAAUAGGAGUUAAACACCGCACACAGAUACUGACAUUUUAAAAUGGAAUGGAGUUAUUACCUUAACUAAUCCUUAUGUAACAGAUUCCAAAAGCCUUUUAUUGCUACCAAUACCAAAUUAGUCCAAAUCUCCCUUUGUCUGGAGACCAAAUAAUACAGUAAGGCAAGCUUGAGGAUCAUCACGCAGCACAUCUCCAAUCAGCAUCGGAGCUCCAUUACUCUGUAUCCUAAACAGCACUUCACAAGUUAUUCCUGUUCACUCUUUCAGGACUAUCAGUAGGGCAGUAGUCUCCAUGUCUACGAUGGGAAGAUUGCCCUGGAGUUGGGAUGUUUUCAGGAAAUACAAACCCUAAAGAAGUGACCGGCCUUAAUCAAUUGUUGGUUCCAGGGAUAAUUAGGGUACAAAUGGCACGGCUUCAGGAGCGAUAGAUGGAUUAUAAAUGCAUUGGACCUCAUAAGGGCGAUCUUAAGCAGUCUUGGGAGUGGGACUAAAACUACGAUAGUGUUAGGCUUCAGAUGGUUGCUCUUGGCGAAGAUUACCCGGAGCAACAAAGGCAGGAUUGUCAAGUGCAACAUUCUUAGCUUGUCUUUGAUUGAGUCACUAACCGAAACCGUCGGAGUGUCAUUUUUAUCAGCAGGACCAUUCAGAAAUUCAUCCUCAAAUAUUUCCUUGAAUGAAAAGUAGCUUUGUCAAUGACUCAAUCAGCAGUGUCAAAAUCAAAGAAAUCACUUUCCCUUGUCUUAAAUUUUCUCCUCCAAGAAAGAUGAUCGAAAGGAGAAAUCUUCAUGCAUUUUUUCAGGAAAAAGUGUAUCAUCCGAGUAACCCCAGAGAAAGAAGAACUCAUCAUGGUUAGUUAAUGUUGUUGAUAAUUUCAUCUACUAGAAUCGACCAGAAAGCACUUAAUUCAUGACGAACCUAGAAGAAAGGUUAAAAAACAAUAUAACAAGCCGCCACUUAUAAAGAAGAGAGGUGGCAGGGAGAGGAAAUAACUAAUUCAGCAAGCGCAUAAGACAUAGAAGAUAAUAAUGUUACCUUUUGUAGGAUAACUAACUCAAAAGGAUAGGCCUUUGAAGAUCUAGUGACCUGCUUGCUUUCCAGCAAAACUUCCAUGCAUUCAAGCACUGAAUUUGACGUAAAGCCAAGAUUGUAGCCUCCUUCCAAUGCCAAAACAAUCUUGCCUUUAGCAAAAUCCAUCAACUGGAGAAAGAAAAUUACAGACGUGGAAUGCGCCAAAGAUUCGAAAGUCAACCCAAAAUCAGUAGCUUGCAAGAAAAGCCACAAGAUAAAUACAACAAAAUGCAAAUAUUGAACCAUUUCAUCUUGUUGUCAGCCUCAGAAAUUUAGCAUUCCCUCGAUUCUGUGUUCUACAAUUUGAAAUAUCAAUAUAAAAAUGCCAAAAUAUUAGAGUAAAGAGAAGAUAAAAUUUGAAUGCUACCCUUUUUUAAUAUAAUUGAGUAUCCAUAUGGUAUGACUCACCAAUCCCCUAAAGAAUCACCAGUGGCUGUUCUAAGCAUUGUGUUAGAAAGAUUUAUCGGAAAAAAAGAUUCAAAAAGAGCGAAAGUAGGCACUUUCCAUUUCACUCUAAAAAUGCAAUGUUACUCUAUUUGAUACAAAGAAAGCAACUUAUGGUAAGUUUACAAUACGGAAAAUCUAUGGAGAACGAAAAAAAAAAAAAUUCUUGACAAGCAUACUGCUAAAAAAGCUUCUUGACAAGCAUACUGCUAAAAAAGCUAUGGAGAACGAAAAAAAAAAAAAUUCUUGACAAGCAUACUGCUAAAAAAGCUGAAUUUAACAUCUUGCUGAGUAAAAUCCCAAUGUAUGUCAAUUAAUAAAAGGGCCAUGAGAACUUUUCCGGAUUUUAUUAUUUUCAACCAUAAGCAACAAGGUUUAAAACCUGCUCAAGCAUGAAUUUUCCAACCGCUGUCGAUUUUGAUAAUAUUAGAUAUAUUGAGAACCAGAAUUAAAAAAAAAAACCUUAAACUAAUCUAAAAUAAAUAAAUAUAUUCAUUAUUACAAGACAUAAUAAAACAUUGCUGUCUGUUAGAGUGCAAUUUAUGCACUAGUUUUGCAUUGUUUACUUCCCUUAAUAUCGAUGUUUUGCACUUAAUAAUAAUGAUUUACUUGUGUUUUACUUUUGUAUGUGCAAUUCUAUUGAUUGGUGAUAAAAUUGAGCUAUAAGAUGAUGUUUAAGGAUGAUUGUUCUCUUGGAGAAAUUAUGAGCGUCAGAAGAACUUUGUUGAUAAGGCGUGGGCGCGUGCUGUCAACUACGGACCUACAAUUUUUAGUUUAACGUGUUUUGUAUUUUUAGUUAUUUUUGUAAUUACGAAUUUAAUAUUUCAGAUAUUAGUAUUUUAUUUUAAAUAGAAUUCUAGAGGAGAAGAGAGAGAGAGUAUUUAAGAGAGGAAUCUAUUGUGAAAAAUGGGACUUUUGGAGAAGAGAAAAAAAAACCCUAGAUCUAAACUUUUCUCUUCUCUCUAUGAAGAACUAAACCUAUUUUUCUGGUUGAAGGAUAAUGAAGCUUUGAUUCAUCACUACUGUAAGAUCUUUCUUAUGCUUUAAUUGUUUUAUUACUUUUUGGGUAUUUGUUUAUUCUCUAAAUUAUUUUCAUGAUUAUGUUUGUUAAUUAGGUAAUUGGCCACUAUUUAAUUAUCAACUUAAUCUAUUGUCAAUUAAAGGAUUCAUCGUAUGAAGAAUUUAAUGUUUGUGACAAAUAACAUAGCAGAGAGUUGUGUUGUGAGAAGAAACAAUCUAAUUUAAAUGAAUCAUCAUAUGUGUUGAUUAGGAUUUGGGUCUCCUGCUGUACGGCCAAGGCGGAUGUACGGUACAGCAGANNNNNNNNNNNNNNNNNNNNNNNNNNNNNNNNNNNNNNNNNNNNNNNNNNNNNNNNNNNNNNNNNNNNNNNNNNNNNNNNNNNNNNNNNNNNNNNNNNNNNNNNNNNNNNNNNNNNNNNNNNCCCCCAUUUUAUGUUUUACGUUUCAAAAGGAUUUAAAUAAUUACCGAUCUCUGUGGACACGACCCUGCUCAAUCACUAUACAUAAUUUAUUUAGAGUAGGAAUUUAUUUUUGUUGGCUUCGACACCCAUCAAAUUUUGGCGCCAUUGCCGGGGAUUGGUGUCAUUUAUUUAAUCUUUUUUACGUUUUACUUGGUGUAUGGUUCGUUCUUCUCGUACAGGUACACUUUCAUUUGAUCCUGAAAUUGAGAAGAUAGCUUGCCAGCUGAGACAGCAGACGAAGCCAGCUAAGCAACGAUCCUCGUCGCCUUUGCUUUCUGAAACAGAUACAGUGCCUGAUUUAGUUGAAUCAUCUAACGAUUCAGAAGAACAAUUGAUUGAUAGACCUGCACCUGUAGAAAGAACUCUUAGAGAGUUAGCUGAACCAGACUUGAAUCAACAACCACUCUGCAUUCAAUAUGUAGACUUGGAGGUAAAUUUUGAAUUAAAGUCUGGUCUUAUUCAUUUAUUACCCAAGUUUCAUGGUUUUGCAGGUGAAGAUCCUCAUAAACAUCUUAAGGAGUUUCAUGUUGUCUGUUCAAGUAUAAGACCAUAAGGAGUGACUGAAGAGCAGAUUAAGCUGCGUGCUUUUCCGUUCUCUGUAGAUGGGCUAGCUAAAGACUGGUUGUAUUACUUGCCUCCUGGAUCGAUUACAACAUGGAAUGGUUUGAAGAAGCAGUUCCUCGAGAAGUACUUUCCUGCUUCAAGAGCUGCCAACAUCAGAAAAGACAUUUGUGGGAUCAGAGAACUUCCUGGGGAGACUUUGUAUGAGUAUUGGGAGCGAUUCAAACAAUUGUGUGCCAUUGUCCUCAGCAUCAAAUUUCUGAUCAACUUCUUAUUCAAUAUUUUUACGAAGGACUGUCAUUGAUGGAUAGGAGUAUGAUAGAUGCUGCUAGUGGAGGCGUGUUGGUGAACAAGACCCCUACUCAAGCAAGGGAGUUGAUCUCAAAUAUGGCUGCCAAUGCACAACAAUUUGGCAGCAGACAAGAUGCCACCUUAAGGAAUGUGAAUGAGGUAAAUAUUUCUUCUGUUGAACAACGUUUAGAUAAACUUACUUCUCUUGUGGAAAAGUUUGUUGUAGGUAAUGUGCAACAUGUGAAGACUUGUGGCAUUUAUUCCAAUAUGGGUCAUUCAACUGAUAUGUGUCCUACACUUCAAGAAGAACCCGCUGAAUAAGCCAAUGCAGUUGGAGGAUUUCCAGGCAUGCCUCAGAGGAGGUAUGAUCCUUAUGCAUAAACAUACAAUCCGGGAUUGAAGGAUCAUCCCAACUUCAGCUAUGGAGUUAGGCCGUCAGGAUUCCCACAACAGUAUCCACCAAGACAACCAGCACCUCCACAGUCAAACUCCAAGUCAGGUAUAUCUCUUGAAGAAAUUGUUAAAUCACUUGCGACUAACACUCAACAAUUUCAGCAGGCGACUACAGCAAGCAUUUAGAAUUUAGAGAACCAAAUGAGUCAAUUGGCGACUACAGUGAGCCGUCUGGAGUCUCAAGUAUUAGGGAGAUUGCCUUCACAAUCUGAGGUGAAUCCAAAGCAAAACGUUAGUGCUGUCAUCCUUAGAAGUGGGAAGGAGUUGCAAGAGCCUAGUAAGAAAGUGACAAAGCAUGUAGAAGAUGAGCUUGAGAAGAAUGAAUUGAUGCCUAAAUCUCAAGAUGCGCAACCCACCAGAGCGAAACCCCUACCUAUUGUGAUACCUCCUCAUUUUCCAAGCCGGUUUGCAAAAUCCAAGAAGAAGGAACAAGAGAAAGACAUCCUUGAGACAUUUCGCAAGGUUGAGGUAAAUAUUCCUUUAUUAGAUGCUAUAAAAAAAAUACCUUGAUAUGCUAAAGUCCUUAGGGAACUAUACACCUCUAAGAGAAAAUUAAGAGGAGAUGAAAAAGUUCACAUGGGGGAGAAUGUUUCAGCAGUUCUCCAAAAGAAAGUACCUCCUAAGUGCAAGGAUCCAGGUAUGUUUACUAUCCCUUGUAAAAUUGGUAGUGUUAGAAUUGAAAAGGCUUUGUUAGAUUUAGGAGCUUCUAUUAAUGUCAUGCCUCGUUCCAUUUAUUCAUCUUUGAAUGUUGGUCCAUUAAAUGAAACUGGCGUGAUAAUUCAACUAGCUGAUAGGUCUAAUGCAUAUCCUGAUGGGGUAUUAGAAGAUGUCUUAGUACAAGUUAAUGAGUUGGUUUUUCCAAUUGAUUUUUAUGUACUUGAUAUGGAAAAGGAUAACUCCUCCAAUUUUGUACCAAUUUUUCUAGGAAAACAUUUUUUUAAGACUGCUAUGACUAAAAUGGAUGUACAUAAAGGGACUCUCACUAUGGAGUUUGAUGGAGAGGUUAUAGAAUUCAAUAUGAAUGAUGCCAUGAAAUAUCCUAGUGAGGAACAUUCGGUAUUUUCUGUGGAUGUUAUUAACCCUAUAGUGCAGGAAGUUAUUUACAAGGAAAAAACGAAGACAUUUCAUGAUAGAAUGAUUUUGAGAAAGGAGUUCUGCUGUACCGUACAUCCGCCUUGGCCGUACAGCAGUUUGGUUUAACCUAAUUUAUAAUAUAAAAAAGAAAGGUGCACCACAUAGAGGGGCGGCAAGGAAAUUAUCAUUAGACUAAUUAGAAGGAACGAAGAAGAAGAAGAUCAGAAUUGAAGAGUGUUGUUUCGGCAACAUUGGCGAAUCGUGCAGAAUUACUUGGCUUUGAUUUUCACCGUGCUCAACUUAUAUUUAUCUUCUUCCUUUAAUUGAUUUGAUGUAUUCUGAGACCAAUAUGUUUAUGGUUAUUUCUCUCAUCCAGAUUAUGAACUAAAUUUACUUGUAGUUGAGUGACAAAUAAUCCAAUGGGUUCUUGACUGUUCUUAUAUGUUGUUAUGGUAUUGCUGUAGCAUUUUACUCUAAUAGCUUUUAUGAAUAUAACUGUUAUUUCAGUUGACCACCCAUUUAAUGGUUUCAGUUAAGAUAGAGCAGCAAAAUGGCAUGUCUUAGCGGACAUUAUUAGAGUAUUACUUGUUCUUAAGUCGAGUUUCCUGGAUUAGGUUAUCUUGAAUCCCAUAAGGGCAAUACUUGAAGUUAAGAUAUGUGACACUCUAGACAUAGGUGUUCACCUUGUAGGGUAGANNNNNNNNNNNNNNNNNNNNNNNNNNNNNNNNNNNNNNNNNNNNNNNNNNNNNNNNNNNNNNNNNNNNNNNNNNNNNNNNNNNNNNNNNNNNNNNNNNNNNNNNNNNNNNNNNNNNNNNNNNNNNNNNNNNNNNNNNNNNNNNNNNNNNNNNNNNNNNNNNNNNNNNNNNNNNNNNNNNNNNNNNNNNNNNUAUAUAUAUAUAUAUAUAUAUAUAUAUAUAUAUAUUAUUUAUUUAUUUAAAAAAAAUGAAAAAAAACAAAAAACAAAAAUCACAAAUCACUGUUCACUGUUCACAAAUCCCUAAUUCAAAAAAAAAAAUUUCACUGUUGAUUAUCGUUUUCACUCGCACGCAACCAGCAGUGCGCAACCAGCCCCAACCCGCGCAGCAAGCUCCAGCUGAGCAGCAACGCAGCGCAGAUCCAGCCUACGCCCUGUAUUCCAACCGGGUAAAUCGAAAUCCGUGAGUGCAAUUAUUGUAAUAAUGCCGAAAAGGAAAGCAUCUACUUCCAAGUCAUCUAAAAAGACAUCCGUCGUAAAGAAAUCUAAGAUUGCCGCUCCCACUACGGUUCCAUGGAACACAAUUUCAGAUUCAUGCCAAGCCGUGAGACAAAGAUCGAAACAUGGAAAAGGCAUGAGUGUUUUGCCACUUGCGGAAUCCAAUCUCGAAGGGUGCCUCGCAUUCGCGACUCAACAAGAGAAAGAGAAGAGGCGAGAUUUCAGUUUACUGAACCAGGACCCACUCAACCUCCAUAGAAGCUCUAUGCUAGGAGUGGUGCUACCUCUGAUGACGAGUUUGACGACGACACUGCUGCCCCGCCGACUAUUCCUUCUACAUCCGCACCACCUUUGAGCAUUCAGUUAGAGAAAAUGGAGCACAAGCUGAACAAGAUGGAGCAGAAUUUGGCUUAAAUGAUUUUGGAGUUAGUAUGCUUCAUAUAUUAUUAUUUUUCUUUUCCUUUCUCUCUCACAACUCUUUUCCCAUCCAUCUCAAAUUAUUUACAUCUAUUUUUAUUCUAUCAUACUCUUUCAUCAAUCACAUUUUAUCUUUCACUUUUCAUAUUACUACGUACAUUUUUCUCACUUCUUAUCAUUUUUACCUUUCCUUUUAUAUAUCACUCAUACCUUCUUCUCAUUCUAUACCACUAUUGAUGGUUGAUUCAUUUGAAGACUGUACAUGAUUUGAUGGCAAAUUUACAAACUUUGUGAGGAUUUGAGCCUAUGAGCAACCACUUUGCUCUAAUAUUUUUGUUAUGUGAAUAUCAAUCUUAGUUUGUUUAUUCUAGAACUUGCUUUGUUAUGCAUGUUGAAGCCACAUUACGGGAUUUUAUGCAUUAAAAUGAUAAGGGCAAACCAUUUUCUAUUUUUCUAUUCUCACAUUUUUUUUUUCUCUACCCGAAGACCUUUAUUUGCUACCUUUGUUUGGGCCUUAACCAUUACCCAUCUAAUUCUCUCCGUCUACUUAACCAUUUUUCUUCUUUUUGAGCCUUAAUUUAAGGAGAUUUUUGGACUCAUUGUGUGGAUAAAUUUUGUAUAUAUUUUGUUGUUUUUUCUACCUUGUAUUAAAGUUUCUCAAUUAGAUCAACAAGCAUUAUGCUUGAAUUAAAUUGUGCAAGGUUCAUUUCUUUUGUUUGAUUAAAAAAAAAAAGGAAAAAAAAGAAAAAGAAAAAAAAGGAAAAAGAAAAAUCGAAAAAAAAAUCGAAAAAAAAGAAAAAAAAAAGAAGAAAAAAAAAUGUUUACAUUCUUGGUGACUUGAGUAGAAAUAAGCGUUUCGAUAUCAUAAGGUUCAUUCAAUGAGUUCAUUCUUCUCAUUUUGAUCUCUUUUUCUUUCAUAGACCUUUCUUUUUCAUUUAACCUAUUUAACCCCAUUACAACCCUUUUAAGACCCUUAGAUUUUUGCAUUUUAUUCAUGUUUUGUGGAUUGAGAUGUGAUAUAUGAGCAAGCUUAUGGUAAUAGCAUUCUUUGAUUUGAUUUGAGUGAAUAAAUGACACCCUAAACACUUUGAGUGCAUGGAGUGAAGUCAAUGAGAGGGCUAUUAAAUCUUGUUGCACUUGAAUUUUGAAUGGAUCUUCUUGGUGGUUGAAUGUUCUUAUUCUAUCUUAUGAAAUUCUAUGCUUUAAAAUCCUUGUCUCUCGAAUGUUGAUCGACUUAAUUUCUUGAGGUAUACUUGCUUAAAAUUUGCUUGCUUAAAAUUGUUUUGGGAUGAGUUGAGAUGAGAAUUGAGUAGAGAUUUGGGAUUAGUCUUGAGAUAUAUGCUUGAGGACAAGCAUCAUCUUGGUGUGGGGGAAUUUGUUAGAGUGCAAUUUAUGCACUAGUUUUGCAUUGUUUACUUCCCUUAAUAUCGAUGUUUUGCACUUAAUAAUAAUGUUUUACUUGUGUUUUACUUUUGUAGGUGCAAUUCUAUGACUUUGUUGAUAAGGCGUGCGCGCGUGCUGUCAACUACGGACCUACAGUUUUUAGUUUAACGUGUUUUGUAUUUUUGGUUAUUUUUGUAAUUACGAAUUUAAUAUUUCAGAUAUUAGUAUUUUAUUUUAAAUAGAAUUCUAGAGGAGAAGAGAGAGAGAGUAUUUAAGAGAGGAAUCUAUUGUGAAAAAAGGGACUUUUGGAGAAGAGAAAAAAAACCCUAGAUCUAAACUUUUCUCUUCUCUCUAUGAAGAACUAAACCUAUUUUUCUGGUUGAAGGAUAAUGAAGCUUUGAUUCAUCACUACUGUGAGAUCUUUUUUGUGCUUUAAUUGUUUUAUUGCUUUUUGGGUAUUUGUUUAUUCUCUGAAUUAUUUUCAUGAUUAUGUUUGUUAAUUAGGUAAUUGGCCACUAUUUAAUUAUCAACUUAAUCUAUUGUCAAUUGAAGGAUUCAUCGUAUGAAGAAUUUAAUGUUUGUGACAAAUGACAUAGCAGAGAGUUGUGUUGUGAGAAUAAAUAAUCUAAUUUAAAUGAAUCAUCAUAUGUGUUGAUUAGGAUUUGGGUCUCUCUGGUUUUUAAGGCUGUCAAUUGAUUAAAUCCUAUGAUCGUAUCUAGGGUUGUCUAUUGAUUAGGGAAAUAUCCAACGGUCGUACCUUGGUUAUCGACUAGUUAAGGAGAGAUUGGCUAUUAGAGGGUCUCAGUAGCUAUAACCAGUCUAUUCAUAAGUAAUAAUAAUCUAUAUUUGAAUCAAUGAUCAGUAGUCGAAUCAAGCUGAAUUAAUUCCUUCAACCAGAGCUUUCUCCAAUUUGAAUUACAACUUUAAUUUGCAUUCUUGUUAUUUUAAUUUGAUUUUUAUUAUUGUCAACAAUUCCCCCAUUUUACCUUUUAUGUUUCAAAAGGAUUUAAAUAAUUACUGAUCUCUGUGGACACGACCCUGCUCAAUCACUAUACAUAAUUUAUUUAGAGUAGGAAUUUAUUUUUGUUGGCUUCGACAACCAUCACUGUCAAAGCUCAGGAAUGUACAAUAACCAAGGAGACAUUUCAAGGUCACAUUUGUUUUAAGCAACUUUUCAUUGUUAACCAAAAGAAGCUAGAAAAUGAUUUCAAAGGAUAUCGACAAUCUUCUUAAGAGAACAAUAAUUUGAGAUUUUUGCAUUGUAAUUAUUAGCUGGAUAAAAUUUGCUUUGCACAUUAACCGAAUUUGGCCAACAAUCAUUUCUUUUUCAACUUCAAUUUUUAUUCAUGAGUACACUAUCAUAAAAUUAGCUAAACUUCCCAAGACAAACAAAAAGAGUUAGAUGGAGUAUACCACACUUUCUAAGUAUCUAUCUAGUGAGCUAGUACUUUCAUCAAACGCUUUAUUGAAUCUUCAGUAUUGAUGCAGGACGUUGCUUUGACAAUCUGUGUGAGAAAAUGCAUGAGGUUCCUUGGAGGACAAGACAAGCAUUAAAGAUGAUGAGGUUAUUGAUUUAUUUGAGAUUUUUAAAGAAAAACAAAGUAUUCUUGAUUUGCGCAUUGAGUCUAACAAUAAGUUUGAGGUAGUGCAACAAAAUCAAGUUGAAGAAGCUGAAAUGAUUGAAAUGGUCCCGCCUAUUCACAUUGAAGAGAAGAAGGUUGUACUUGAAGAAGAUUUGAUUGAAAAAGUGAAAUUCGUUCAAGAGCACAUUGAGCGACGAUUAGGGAAGAGUAAGAGUUAUUUGAUCAUUGUUCGUUCUUAGAAGUCUUCAUCAUCUUCGAGAAUGUAUAAGCCAAGGAAUCAUUGAUUCCUCAAAAUUUCGAGAAAGAUUGAUGAGAAAGACUAGAAGUUCGAUUUACAAGAUGAUUUGGUCUUGCAUUACAAGUUUCACCCUCCAAAUUAUAUUCAAACUCGAGGACGAGUUUCUUUUAAGAGGUGGAGAAUGAUGUAGGACAUUAUUUUAAGAUCAUAGAAUUUUAUUAUUAUAGGAUUUUAUAUUUUAGUUAGAGUAAAUUAUGGUAUGUGUCUUAGUCUUUGAUUUCCAUUAUAAUUGUUAUUUAGUUUCCCUUUUCAGUUAACUUAAAGAAGUAUGUUUACUUUAUUAUAAAUAGAGGUCUUAUUAUUAUAAGUUUAGGUUCAAUUAUUCAAUAAAACCCCUCGUUUAUAAUUCUCAUUGGGAUUAGCUAUCAAAAUUUCUCUCACAGAGUAGUUUAGAUUCGAGGGUUAUCUGAUCUCGCUUUGUGCAUUAUUAAAAUCUCAUUGAAUCCUUUGGAUUAGAACAAGAUAUAAUCACAAUUCGGUUAGAGUGUAAACUAAUCAUUUUUUCUAAAUCAGGUACUAGAAUGAUAUUUAGUGUUUCCUACCCUAUCAAUUUUGUUUCUACUAUGCCCACUUCGUUAAAUAUACCAAAAAUAGUAAUUGUAAAAUUUUAUUUGAUGAGUAAGAUAUUUAAGGUAGCAUUUACUUUUCGGAUUGGAUUGAGAAUCCUAAGCAGUAGGAAUCUUGGAUUGGUAGUCAAAAUAUCAUGCAUAAUAGUUCUUUAUGAAAUAUACAUUAACCAUUGAAAUUGCCACCAAGAUUAGAUUUCUAUGAUGGCACUUGAUUAAUAUACAUUUUAAAAUUUGGAAUGGAAACAGCAAGGCAUCCUAACAGAGCCUCAUAAUUAGAAAUAAACCACAUAACUUGCAUCGAAUCUGAUGGAUACUGAAAUUAUAUUAGGAUCAAUUUCCAUGGUAACAGGAAGUAAAAUAUGAUCUCAAACUAUAAGAUAGUCCUCAUUUCCACAUAACACAUUCUCCCACAAGACAUUAAUGUUGUAACAUCAGGUCCUUCCCCAAUUUUCAUUUUUAGGAUAAAAAGUCCCAAAAAUACCUGUAUAAAAGACAAACUUCUUACAGUCAAAAUGCCUUAUAGAAGAAUAUUGAAUAGAAGAGUUUAAAAGUAAAGCCUUUCAGUAGAAAAAGAGAGAUUUAAUAAAUUAAAAACAAAAUGAAGACUUUUAUGCUGCCAGCAUUAUCCUGAGAAGCAUUGACAAUCAUUUUACAAAAAAUGUUCCUAGAAAAUAAGAUUUCAGCAUUAUCCUGAGAGGUAACCAAAUGAGUCUUGCGAUACUCACAAAGAGCAAAAGACUACAUGCUCACAUACCGGAGGUCGCAUUACCUUGAGAUCAUUGGGUAUACUGACUAUGAUUUUGCUGGAUGCCAAUAUAGUAUGAAAUCCACUUCGGGUUACAUCUAUCUACUAGUUGGGGGUGCUAUCUCCUGGAAGAGUGUUAAACAAUUUCUUAUAACCUCUUAUACGAUGACAGCAGAGUUCAUAAAAUGUUACGAGGCAUCCAAUCGCGAAAUAUGGCUACAGAACUUUGUUACAGGGCUACGUAUUGUAGAUAGUGCUGAUAGACCACUCAAAUUAUUUUGUGACAAUAAGUCAGCAGUUUUGUAUUCCAAUAACAACAGGAGCUCAACGAAGUCAAAGUACAUAGACAUCAAGUUCCUAGUUGUUAAAAAAACAGUUCAGAGUGGACAAUUAUCUAUAGAGCACAUCAACACAGACUCCAUGAUUGUAGAUCCGCUUACGAAUGGAUUGCCACCCAAGAUGUUUGAUGAGCACACUGCUCAUAUGGGCGUCCUGUCAGUAAAGGAUAUUUAGUUUUAGUGGGAGUUUGUGACUUUAGAUGCUCUUAUAAUUUAGAAAUUUUUCAGUUAUUUCAUUUUAUGGAUAUUUUGGGUUAUUUUCUAUAGAAAUAAAGUUUUGGUUUAUUCAUACUCUAAUUUUAGUAUGGUUUGAUGUCACUAAGAUUUAAGGUAGACUAGUUGGAAAUAAGCAUGUUAAGAUCACAUUGCAUGAAAUUUCCAUGCUACAAAUCCACAUUAUGAACCAUGUUAUUCAGUUGUAUUGGCAUAGUGACCAUUGAUAGGUUGAGUUACGAUAGUUGUAAUGAAGACCGCUUUGAUCCUGUGUUGGUAUGAUUGAUGGACCAAAUUGAUAAUAGAUACAUUUCGAUGAUGAUAGUAAGGUUGAGCUCAUAGGUUAUUUAAAAAAGUAUAAUUAUAAGUUUAAGUAUAUAGCCCAAGUGGAGAUUGUUGGAUCUUUAAUCCAAUGUUGGGAUUAUAUAUGAAUAAUUAUGUGUUACGGACUGUCAUAUAAAGUUAAGCCAAAUUAAAAGUGAUCCAUUAAGGUUUUCAGUAAUUUGGGUUUUACUGUAUCUGAUAGGAUGUGGGCUUUUAAUGUGUAGAGAUCUAAUGGUAUUCUAAUUCUAUAAUGGGUAGAAUUCAGAAUAUCUAAUGACAACAUGAAAAAGUUGUCUAUAUAAGUGGUUAUGGUCCGGAGAGAGAGAGGGCAUAGAGAAAAUUAAAGGAUUCUCUAAGAGAACGUGUUUAUCUAGGAGACCAACUACACAACUCUAUAGAGUAAGUCAACGUUGUGGAUUCAAGUACGCUUCUGCAUAAUUUCUUAUUGAUUCUUAGUGAUAAAAUAUGAAAAUUCAUAGUUUAUAGGUGAUAAUUUGCACCAAAAAUUUUCUUGUUCUAACAUGUUUCAAGUAGCUCUUAUGCGAUUUGGAUUCUCGGGGUGAUCACCACCAUCAGGUGUGUGAUGUUUGCAUUUUGAUUUAUUGUUAUUUUUAUUAUCAAUAUUAUUACUUUUUUUACUUGAGAUUACCUUAAAAAAAUUAUGGAAAUUACUAUCAUUAUUAUUGUUAUUGAUUCAUCCUAAUUUGUUAUUUUAGUUAACAUCUAAAAUUGAAAAAGCAUAGCAUCAUCUUGGUAUUUAUUUUAUGCAAAUAGGAUUUAUAGAUAAUUAAUAAGAGAGAUUUUAAUUAUUAAGUGUUUAAAGUUAGUUAAAUACAAAAUAAUUGAUCAUACUAUUAGUUUGCAUUGUCUUAUUGUUAUCGGUACGGUCAAAUUCUUUAUUUUUUAAAAAUUUUUUUGCCCCCUAAUCCCUGUUGUUUGGGUAGGGCAAAGUAGUUUACUCUUCUAACAACUGCAGUAAGAACAUAUUGCUCUCAAUGAUAGAUCUAAUUAAUGCAGGCAUGCAGUUUCAUAAUCUCGGUGAAAUAAUUUUUGGGAAAAGGACAAACUAAAACCCAUAGCAUAAUGAUUUUAGAGAGACCACGAAGCUCACGGAUCAGGAUUCUCUUCUGAUCUGAUCUCCUCCUGAGUAAACAUACAUGUGGUGAUUGUUAGUUAAUAAAAUAAAGAAAAUAAAGAAGUUAAAUUCUAUCAAUACACUAUCACUUAAAGACACAUGACACAAGAUCUUUAAAUCUCUUCUGAUCUGAUCUCCUCCUGAGUAAACAUACAUGUGAUGAUUGUUAGUUAAUAAAAUAAAGAAAAUAAAAAAGUUAAAUCCUAUCCAUACACUAUCACUUAAAGAUACAUGACACAAUAUCUUUAAAAGCUUAUGAGAGCUCAGAUCAAAAGAGGAUUUUUUUCCCGAAGUUCACAAACUAACUCUCCAACCCCACAUAAACUAGAAUAUCUAUAAAUUAAUUGUGCUGGGAUCAUAUAAAAUAUAUUAAUUAAAAGAGAAAUUAAAUAUCGAUAAGUUAAUAAUUUAAUAAUUUAUAGAGUUAUUUAUAAUUCAAUUAACAUACAUCAACAACACAUUAUAAUUUCUCAUUACAAUUCGAGAAAUCAACCCCAAAACUUUUAGAUGCAAUCAGAAAAAUAAGAGAUGAGAUUCAACUAGAUUUAAAUUAGACAAAAAAAGUAACAAUAAAGUCAUGUUUUGAGCAACAAGUAAAUAAGUUUGCUAUAAACAUACAUGGAAAACUUCAAGAAAAUUAAAGUACAGAAAAUAAAAAAUAAUAUGAAGAAUUAUUCAUUGUAAUUCAAGAUCAAAAUAAAAUCCUCCAGGACACAAUAGUUCAAUGAAAAGAAAAAUAAUGAAAUUCGGUCCAUAUCAAGACCAAUAUUAAAAAAAAUUGAAGGAAACAAAAAAUUAAUAAGCUUAAGAAUGAUAAGUGAAAAUCCAAACAAUGAAUUAAAAGAGCUAUCUGAUAGAAAUGAAGAAUCUAAAAGAGAUGAAAAUGAAGAUGUAUCCAUUAAUUUACAAGAUAUAAAAAAUAGAAUAGAACAUCUAAAGAUGAAUGAGGCAAAGCCCGGAAUUUAUGAAUAAGGCGAAUCUAGCAAUACAACACCUUAUGCUAGAGAAGAGAUAUCAACUUAUGAAGGACCAUAGAGUCGAUAUUUUAGGUCUAACAAACCUAAAAAGGAAUAUAAAACUCCAGGAGAGUAUAGAGAAACACCAAUCAGCCAUGAUGACGUUUGGUUGGAUUUAGAUUGCUCUAAGAAUACAUAUAAAAUAAUAUUAAUCCCUUAGGUUAAAUCUAUGAAAAUUGCUCUUGCAUUUCGCAAUCUAGAUAGAAAAGACAGUAUAGAAUUUUUAAAACUUUGUUUAUAAAAAUAGUUGCACAAUGGCACAUGGGACUCAAACAAGAAAAUAAAGAUAAAAUAUUAUGUGUAGAAAAUCCUAGGCUAAAUGAACUUUAAGAACAAAUUUCAUGUGGAUUUAAAAGUGAAAUAAGAAAAGCAUUAUUAGGAGAAAGCUGAUUUUCAACAAGAAAUGAAGAGAAAAAGAACAGAAAAUGUAAUGAAGCUAAUUAGACUUGAAAUAUGUGAUAUAUGUUACUUAGUGAUUAGUGUUAAAAAUUGUAUGUUUAUUAAGGGGUAAAAAUGUUAUUUUGUGCUAUUAAUGUAAUUUAUAUUUGUAAUUGUGUAACAUAUUGUGAAUUUCUAAUUAUUUUUCGAAGUAUUUGAUUUUGUGUAUUUUUGUGUGUUUAUUAGGCAAAAAUAAUAAUUUCAUGCAAUUUGAAGCUUCAAAAAAAUGUACGAAUAUCAAAUUUGGAUUCAGGAAGUCUGAGAAAUUAUGUCAUUGUCGAGGGGGAGCCGAGACGUUUGUUGUAAAUUUUUACGUUUUUACCACGGUAAAUGUGGUAAUUGUAAAAUUAUAAGUUUUUAUCAUGUUAUGUAUGGUAAUUGUUAGUGGAAUGUGUUGGAUAUACUUGAGUGGAUUAAGUUAGGUUUAUGUUUUAUUAGUGGGAUUAUUAGUGGGACAAAUGUAAGGUUAAGAUGUAAUUAGAUUUUUUUAUUUGUGUGGUGUGGAUUUACCAUGUAUUAGUAUAAAUAGAGAGGGGGUGAACACACCUCUUCACACCUUCUCUUCUCUUCUUUCCCCCCAAAUUCUUCUUCUCAUCUCUCUUUGUAAUAUAUUUUCAAUUAAUUAAAUUAGUUUUAUUCCAAUUUUUCAAAUUCCAAUUUUUUUAAUUAUGUGUUUUUCAAUUUUAAUAAUUUCCUUUAUGUUUAACUAAAUAUUCAUAGUUAGGGGAAGGUGAAACUCUUAGUAAGAAAAUAUGGUUUAAUCAAAUUGUAUUUUUAAUUUUAUAAAUUAAAUUAUUUUCUAUUUAAUUUUAUCCAUAUUUUAUAUUUUGAAAUUUUGAUUUAGUGUAGACAAAAAUAGGAAUUUGGCACAAUAAAUCCUUAAUAUCUUAAGGCGGAUGUACGGUACAGCAGAUGAAUUUGGCACAAUAAAUCCUUAAUAUCUUAGUAUAAAAUAUGGAAAAAAUGGUAUUUUGAUUUAGUGUAGACAAAUUAAGUUUUGGCACAUUAAAUUCUUAAUCCACAAUAAAAUAAAUGGGAAAAUAAUUUUAAUUUAUAUAAUUAAUCUUUUGAGAAAUAAAAUAAAAAUAAAAAGAAUUUGUUAAAUUGUAUUUAUUACUAAGAGUAGAUCCAUAACCCUAACUAAUUCAAUUUUAUACUUUUUCUUAAAUAAAUUACAUAUUUUUAAAUUUUAUUUUUAUUUGGAUAUACUUAAGUAAACAAAUUAAAUCUUUUCUCUGUGGAUCGACCUCGGACUCACCGAGUUAUAAUAUAACAAGAUACUCUUAUACUUUGGAGUAAAUCAAACAUUUUUAAGUUGUCACUUAGAAGCAUACGCUUGUCGCUUUGAAAAACUAUAUUAUAAAUGUGAAUUUGAAACUGAUGAAAAUACAGCAGGAUAUUAUAAUGAUCUAUAUUUUAUGAGAAUACCAUAUCCAUGAGGUAAAAAGAUUAUGCUAGAAUACAACCAAGAAUAUAGAUAUAGUAUAGACACUAAUACACUUGGAUAUAGAAUUAGGUUUGCAUGAAAUAGGAUAAAUUUGUUGUGUACUAAAAUAAAAGAUAAAAGAUUAAUGAAAAUGCAAAAUCGAGGACUAUGUUGUUCUAAAUUAGAAGAACCUCCAAGAUUUGGAUGUUCAAAUAAAAGCUAUAAACAUAGGAAAAGUUCAAAAAGAAUAAAUUCUUUAAAACCAAUAAAAAAUAUUAAAAAAAUAAAUAUAAAAGAAAAAAUUUCAAGAAAAAUAAAUGCAAUGGAAAAUCUAAAACAAACACACUCGAAAAGUGUAAAUGUUGGUUAUGUAAUGAAGAAGAGAAUUAUGCAAACGAAUGUCCAAAGAAACAGAAAGCAAACAUUAAAACUUUUGGAAAUUUUAAUGAAAUAGAAUUAAUAACUAACUGUGAAAAUAUUAGUGGAAAUGAUAGCAUAUAUUAUCUAUCUAAUGAGACUCUAAGUAACUCAUAUUCAAAAUGAGUAUAGAGCAGACAAAUAAUAAAAAUCUAUAUUAGGAUAAAGAAUUAAAAGAAUGAAAUUUUUUUAAUAGAGAAUUAGUCUUUGACAAAAAACAUGAGAUUUUUUUAAUAGAGAAUUAGUCUUUGACAAAAAACAAUACCUUAAGUGAAAGGAAUUUAGAUCUAUUGCAAAUAGAUGUAGGCAAUCAGAAACCUAAAAUUAGAACCUUAAUUAAUUUUUGAAAAUACCGUUCACGGUUAUUGUUCAUGCGCAUAAAAAUAUUACUUUUAAAAAAAAUGAAUUGCAGAAAAUAAAUAACACAUAGAUUUUUACAUGGUUCAGAUUAAUCAAUCCUACAUCCACAAGGUCAUGCCCAGAUGAAAAGUAAUUCACUAAGUUGAGAUGUUACAAUAUAUGGAUUUAUCAAACUUAAGAUUCUCACUUACAGUUUAUCACCAUACAAUUUACUCAACCUUAGACUGAAUCUUUGAAUAAUUGCUACCCCUCUUGAUCCAUGAUCAUCAAGGCACUUCGCAAAGUGAUCAAUAACAAUUGUUCAAUUCUUCAAUGUCUAGUGAUCCAAGAUCCACAUAAACUCUCCAAAAAGAAAAACAAAUCAACACAACAUCGUGUGCCAAAUCUGGAUUCUCUAGGGAGGAGGCCGAAUUUUUCUUUUCUACUUUAUGCUCUGUGUUGUGUGCCUUCAAUUGUGAAAUACCUCUCUUUAUAUAGGCUCUAGGGUUUCACAAAAAUAGCAAGUCUUAAAAAACUUGAAUUCUUUCCAAAUAAGAAUUUCUUUCCUCUUAUAAUCCCUAUGAAUCUGAAUAGGAAUAAAUCUGAUAUUCUUUCCUUACUUGUCUCCCAAUAAAUAUCUAGAACAUUUAAUGAACUUCCUGUUUGAACCAACUUCUUACUCUAAAUAGAUCUCAUGCGCUAAUUAUCGAACCUCAUCAUUAAUUGACUUGUUAAAUUAGACAUCUAAAUAAAUUAGAAAACAAAUAUUCCUAAUAAAUUAGAAUCUCACUAAAUUAGGGAAUUAAUAAAUUAAUCCCUAUUACAAGAUAUGAAAUAAAUAAAAUUCUAAUUUAACUAGACUUGCAAUAAGAUGUCAACUCUAUAAAUAAUAGACUUAACAUUAAGAUUAAUAAAAAGAGAUUAGAAACAUCUAUGACAUCAGUUAAUAAAUUAGCACAAGAAAUUGCUAACAUGGUCAAGAGAAAAAACAUAUUGUAUUUCAGUGCCACUAUAAGAGAAGAACCAAUUGAAAUAAGGCAUGCCAGAAGAAAUACAAAUAUACUGUGAUUGCUAAAAUCAGUUAUAGAAGACAAAUCAAUAGAAUAAGAUAUAGUAAUACAGCUAAGAUUGGAUAUAUUCAUAUACGAGGAAUUCAAAUUAUGAUAAAAGCUCAUUUUUUUUAGAAGGAAUAGAUAGCCCAGUAAAUUGUGCUAUACUAGAUGAUAGAUUAAAAGAUCGAAAAUAUGAACUCCUCAGAAUAAUACAAGGAAAUAUUAGUUAUAAAUUAAUAUUUAAGAUAUACCCCAAAUAUUCUAUAAGUCUUAGAGACAAAAAUAUAAACAAGACUUUAACUUUAAGUUGCGAUUUUAAAUACUUUGAUAUAAUACAUGAUGGAUCUUAUCCAUAUAGCAUAACAUAUGUGAUAGAAUAUGCAUUGAAAAAUUCAAUUAAUAAUGAAAUGUUUGCCGAUAAAGAAUUUAGAGAAAUAGAUGACCUUUUCGAUAACUUUGGAAAAACACUAUCUUUCAAGAUUUUGAGAGAAAUAAAUUUACCAGAAGAAUGGGAAAUGGAUUUGAGCAAUCAACCUACUUUGACUAGGGGGAGUACUCCUAAAACUAUAGAAUAUACUCCAGAGGGAAAAAUCAUUCUAGGGAAUAGAAGAUUAUUUUCUGUACCCGAAAAGGAACUAGAAUUACAUGGAAUACAAAAUUUUACUAGAUAUACACAACUAAUAAUACCACCAUCAAAUGAAAUAUUGGCAACAAUUAGAAGAAAUAAUCAAAAUUUAAAAAUCAAGAUUGAUUAUAACAAUAGGAAGUUAUGGCAUGAGACUUUUGCUAUCCCAGACAUAGGAGCUGCAAAAUCUUAUAUUGAUGCCAAAAUGAUUAAAUACUUAGAAAGAAAAAUUCUAAUAGAACCACAUUCAUAGAUAUGUGGGAUAUAAUGGAGAAAGAAAGAUGUUAAGUCAGGAUUAUAAAUACCAUUAAGGAUUAAAAGGAAUAGAGUUUAUCUUUCUUUUUUUUCAUUGAACCUAAAUAUGAAACAGUAAUAAGUCCUUGUUAUAAGGAAUGAAUUUUUUUUUAAACUUUGGCCCUUAUUUCAUAGGAGAUAGAGAAAUAUCUAUAACAAUUGAUGGAAUCAAACAAACAAUAUCAAGAUAUGUCUAAUCCUUUUAUAAUAUAUAUAUAAAAGUGAUCAUACCAUAUUAUAACAAUAAGCUAGAAUAGUUCCAUGCUUUAACUGAUUCUGGUUUAGGAAUUAGUUUAACUAGUCUUAGGAUUUAUCCAAAAUCUUAUUGUAAGUAUAAUAAGCCCUUAAUAGGACAAGGAAUAAAUGGUGAACAAAUCACCUUAGCAACAUGUAGAAUUAAACUUUGAUACAAGUUGAGAACUAUAUUCUAAGCAUACCAAUACUGUGGUCAUACGAUCAUAUGGGUGCAUAUAUACUUUAGGAGUUAAUUUCGUUCUUCAGUUCAUUUAUAUAAUAAUGAACAAAACAAUUGUUCUUCAAUUCAUUUAUAUAAUAACAAACAAAACAAUUCCUCUUAAAACGCCGUAUAACCAUUCCAUCAUUGCACAUACGAUUGUAACCCUGGUAGGUGAACAACUCAAAAAUUUCAUCUUUGAAGCAGCCAACAUGGUGAUUUCAAUUGAAAAAUUAAUUAAAUCAUAUCUUAUUACGAAAAAUUUUAGAAAAGUUAGAUAAAAAUUUGGGUUAAAACCUAGUUGAUGGGAAUUUGAUAAAACUUAUGCCAAAAUUGAAUAAAAAAAUCCAAAUGUUAUCAUAAGAGUUGAGCCUAUAAGAUAUGAGCAAGAAGAUAUAUUCGAGAUUGAUAAACAGGCUAAAGGGUUAUUGGAACUCAAGAUUAUUCAAGAAUCUAAGAGUCCACAUAGUAGCCUAACCUUUAUGGCUAGGAAUCAUGCAGAAAUUAAAGGAGGAAAAGCUCGUAUGAUUUUUAAUUAUAAAUAAUUAAAUAAGUAUACCAAAUUUAAUGGGUACUUUUUACCUCAUAAAGAUACAUUAUUUACUUCUAUAAUUAAUAAAAGAGUGAGACUAUUGACACCCCUCCAAAUACCUCUUAAAACCCUUUAAUUAUUUUACAAUUUUAACCUUUAUCGAAAUUACAUAAUAGGACAAUUUCAAAUUAAACUCCCCACUCAAAAGUCAAAAAAAAAUUUCUUUAAAAAAAUCUAACAUUUUAUAAAUUAAAAAAGUCACAUUUUUCUCUAAUUUUUGGAGUGACGAGUUUACCACCAGUGGUUGCAGCGGAUAGAAUAAAAACCCUUUUUUUAAUGGAAGAAACCCCGAUGUUCAAAUGGGGUUUAAUAAUAUAAAUAAAUAAAAUUAGAGAUUGGGGUUUACACUCAUAAACUUUAAUUAAUAGUAUUUUUUUCAUUGAUAAAGGUGUUAAAAGAAUUUUAAUAAAAUUUUAAAAUAUUUUAAUCGGGUAAUUAAGAAAAUGGGUGUCAAGAGAUAUUUAGAAGGGUGCCACUGGUCCCACUCUUAAUAAAAAGAUAUAUAACAACCUUGAUUGCAAAUCAGGUUUUUGGCAAAUCAAACUUGAAGAAGAAUGUAUACCACUUACAGUCUUUAUUAUACCUCAACGGUAGUAUGAAUGGAUUGGAUUGAAAAAUACACCGCAAAUAUUUCAAAGAAGAAUGGAUAAAAUUCUCAAAGAAUUUCAUGAAUUUUGCAUUGUUUAUAUGGAUUAUCUAUUAAUAUUUUCAAAUAAUGAAGCUGAUCAUAUUAAUUGUCUAGUUUCUUUUACAGAAAUGUGCAAGAAACAUGGAAUACUACUUUCUAGAAAAAAAGCUGAGAUAAUGAAACCAUUUUUUUAAUUACAUGAGAUUAUUUUUAAGAAUACAACUCAUAUUACAUGAGAUUAUUACUGAUAUUUACAAACAGACGAUUACUAGAUUGGUUUACAUUAAAUGUUAAGAAGUAUUGCCAAUAUUUUUACCCUCACUAAUAUUCAAGGGAUAUCUACUCCUCUCAUAUUUCAUAAAGGAGAACUCAUAUUUUGUAAAGGAGAAGAUCAUCUCCACUUAAUUAUACAUUAUAAUUGAGAAAUGAAUUACCCCUACAAUACUUUUGUGGGAAUUCAAAUUGCCCUAACCAAGGCUAAGUGGCGAGAUAAUGAAACCUAGAAUAGAGUUUCUAGGGUUAAUAAUAGAUGUAAUGGGAAUAGAGAUGCAACCUCAUACUUUUAAAAAAUAUAUUUAUUUCUAAAUAAGUUAGAAUAUGAAGUAACAGAUUCAAAUAUUUUUAGGAUGUCUUAAUUACAUUAAAGGUUUCAUAGAAAACUUAGCAAAAGAAAGACAACCCUUACAAGGAUUAUUAAAAAAGAAUAAUAGAAAGUCUUGGGAAGAUCUCCAUACCAAGAUGGUAAAGAAACUAAGAGAAAAAAUAUAAAAAUCUACCAAGAUUAGGAUUUCCUACCACUAAUGAUAAUUUAAUUCUUCAAACUAAUGCUUCGGAUAAUCCUUGAUGUGCAAUUCUAAAAACAAAUCAAGAAAAUAUUUGUGAAUGUACAAGUAGAACUUUUAAAUUCGUAGAAAAGAAUUAUCAUAGCAAUGAAAAGUAAUUAUUGGCUAUUAAAAAUGAAAUAUUUAAAUUUACUUUCUUUUUGUUACCAAAGAAUUUUAAGGUAAGAUCUGAUAACAAUGAGGUCAAAGGAUUUAUAUUUAAUAAAUUACCUAAUUUAUCUCAAUAUAAGAGAUUAAUUAGAUGGUAACGAUUUUUUGCAGAAUAUAAUUUUGAGAUUGAAUAUAUUAAAGGAUUUAACAAUUGCAUUACAAAUUCCUUUGUCGAGAAUACGAUGGAGAAGAGUCUUUGCAAAGUAAUAAACAACAUAACAAUGUGUUCUAAAGGUUAAGCAUUGCUACUUAAAGGCAAUGGAAUAACUUAUGAUGGACUUGCCAUGAUUGAUGACGCCGAAGAAUAAUUGAGUAAACUAUGUCCAGACAGAAGUUUGAAAAGUCAUUCAAAAGUUUAACCUUCAAAACAAAACAUGAGCAGUAUAUUAAAAAUGAUCCAUUUCAAGGACUAAAUGUAGGGUAGGUUACGCAAAAAUCAUCUCAGAAUUCAAAGACCACAAUCUAGAGAAGUUUUCUACAAUUAAUGAUCUCAACGAUCAAUACAUGAAGGAAGAAGGAUCCCAAGACUCUUCAUUUAGCUUGAGGCCUCAAUAUAACAAAAGCAAACGGUCCAAUUCAAUGAUUAAAUUCCAUUAAAAAGUGACUACGCUUUGAACAUAAAAGAAUUGGUAGGUUAGCCCAAGGGAUUUGUCCUAGCCAAAUUAUAAUACUAGAUCAUUCAGGGCUAUACCCAAGAAUUAACUUUGUUCAAGGAGCUGAUCCAGAAAUAAUAAACAACAUGUUUAAACAUGCUUUUAUUAACCUUAUUUAUGUUAGCGAAAAUUGUAGAAAAUUAUAUAUGCUUCUAGAAAAUAUUAAAGAAGGUGUUAUCAACCUCAAAAGAUUAAACAAAGCAAAAGAAAUUAUUUUUGUCAAAUUCCUCACUGCUUGUCCUAAGUACUGUAAUAAUAAAUGGUACUUGGCAUAACAUAUGAUUCAAGUUAGAAUCAGUAGCAAAAGGUUAAUCAAACCAUUGAUUUAACUCAAGUCUAUAAUGACUAUAAUCCUGAAUUAUUUGAGCCUAAAGCUCUUAUCUACAAAUGGGCAAUUGGGAUGAAAGUCCUCUAUAAACAACUUGAACGGAUAAGUAAAGAAAAAAAUAUGGAUUCACCAAGUCACGACAGAAAAUAUAACCUCUUUAUUAAGUAGAAAAGAAAAUAUUUUAGUCAGGCAAGCCAUCUUGAAAAAGAAGAAGGCCAUAUAUGUGAAUCUCAUGGAAUCCAGCUUGCUAACACACCAUGGGAUAUGUAAGGUGCUUAAGCAUCAAUCAUAUUGUGACUUUUACUAUAAAAAAUCAAAAGAAGAAUCUAGCGAGAAAAGACACGUCGCUAGAUGAAGAGCUUAUAAUUAGCGUGUGACAGGAAACCACUAAAAAGAUAAAAGAUGCUAGCUAGAAUUAUCAAUAAUUCAUAAAAUAAUCCAAGGGAAAUGAUAAGGCUUAUCAGAAUCCAUACCUCAACCAUGCGAAGACUGUUAACUAUCAGAAAAAGAAGACAACAACUGUCUUCAGUAAUGCAAGGAGGAAGGGUCACCUUGUCUCUAGGAAAUCUACUAGGCAACAAGUGUUAUGUAAAAAGAGAUAAGCUUAUCUCUAAAAUCUACAUGUGUCAUGUAAGAAGGGAUUAUCUUAUUGUUUAAGUCUAUAAAUAGAUUCAUGUAAGAUAGUAGAGGUAUCACUCACAAAUAUACUCUUAUUCUCAUCUGUAUUUUCUCUUUAAAUUCAAAAAUGAAAUAAACAAAACUCUUUUUGAGUGAAAUUAUCAUCUUUAUAUAUAUCUUAUUUAGACUUGAGAAAAAAAUUAAUCAAGAAUCUUACAUGCCAACACUUGUGUUAAAUGAAGAAGAUUUCAUGGUAUUAAGCACUUUUCCAAAGACAAUUGCAAGGGAUUCACUUAGAAAAAUCUUAUUGGGCUAGUCUGUAGUGUGUUGUAUUAGGCAGUGUGGAAUAGUUACGAGAGUGAUCUUGCAUGAUGCGUGCAGCUAGAGCGAUGCUGACCAUGGGCCAAUCUAUGGUCUUAGGGAAUUGGCAAAUAUAUUCCAGAAUUUUGAGGAAUAGUACAUUGGUUAGUACACUGAAUUGUCUUAUUAUUAUAUUUUGCACAAACAGAAGCAUGUUAGACCUUGAUUAUCUUUUGGAUCUUAUAAGUGUAACUCAAUUUUCAUCAAAAAUUGAAAGAUCAAUCGACAAACUUCUAGAUGCCAUAGAUAAUCUAGACUUUAGUCAGGAAUAUCAAGUUAUUUAUACAACGGAAAUUGUUAAAACUCAAUUUAUUGCAAGUAAACGCUUGUAUAAAGAUAUAAAGAGAAUAAACUUCCAAGAUAACAAUGAAAUAUAUGAGACCUUUGAGGAAGAAAAUAGAAUAGCAUUAAUAGUCUAUUUAACCAGUCUUGAAAUAAUUCAAGAAAGAUGCAAAACAAAUAACGGAGCUCUAAACCGUCCAUAAUAAGUCUAUUGAUGGAUAAUAACAAUAAUAAUGAUGUGAACUUUUGAUUCAGAAUGCUAAAUUUAGAUUAUAAUAUCAAUGUGAAAGUAUUGAUGGCAUGUACCUUGGUUGGGAAAAUAGAUUGGACACAUAUAUAGAUAUGUUGGAAGAAAAAAUCUGGUUUAUGUCUCAAGAGAAACAAGAAAUUAUAAAUGCCAGUGCUAUAAUAUAUUAAGAUUUUUAUAUAUCUUUAUGAAUUUGAUAAUCAUUUAGAUCUUUAUAACAUUAUAAUUAAAACUUCAAAAAGCUUUAAAAAUAAAUGUAGAAGAGAUAGAAAAAAAAAAUCGACUAGUUGUUCAAAACCAAUUAAACAAAAAUAAAAGGUAAAAUCCUUGAAUUAUAUAAAUUAUACAAUUUCACAAAAAUUUGGCAUAUAUUGCAAAAAGGUCCUUUUGUUGCUGAGUAUGGUACUCAGUGCGGUAUAAAUGCUAAUUUUGUUGUUUCUUUUGUAAAUAAAUUACUGCAUCUUAAUUUUUUUACAUGUUACGAAUUUUGUGUUUUAAAAUAUGCAAUUUUGUUUCGUAUUUUGGGUUAAUUUUAUAAUUUCGUACUUUGAUCGACUAUAUGCACACGUCCUUAACAUGUUGAUUGAUGUUGAAUAUUCAAAGAUCUACAAACUACCAACGACAACGAAUGAAUUAAACUAAUUAGUUAAUACAUAAUUACUGGGUUGUUUCCACUACUUGUUAAUGAUGUAGGAUGUUAUUUUAGGAUUUUAAGAUUUUAUUACUUUAGUUAUUUGAUAUUUCUUUUUUUAAUUAAACUUUGUGUCUUAAUUUUUUAUUUCUAUUAUAAUCAUGAUUUAGUUUCUCUUUUUAAGUUAGGUUAGGUUAGUAGAUUACUCUAUUAGAAAUAAAGAGGUCUUGUUAUUAUUUUUAUAAAUUCAACUUCAGUUAUUCAAUUAAAAACCCCUCUUUCAUAAUUCCUUUUGAUUUUAUCAAUCAAAAUUCUCUCUUGUAGAGUUGUUUAAAUUAGAUCAUCUUACCUUACUUAACGCAACAUUAAAAAACUCAUUGAGUCGUUUGAAAUAGAACGAGAUCUAAUUACAUUUCGAUUAGAACGUAACUUAGUCAUGUUGGCUUGGUUCAGUACUUAAACGGUAUCUAGUGUUUCUCUUCUGCUACAUUGCUCUUUCGGUUAACAUUCCUAGGAGAAAAUUAAUUUCACCCUGAGAUAAGAGCAUUAAAAGGAAUUCAUAAGAACCUAAAAUUUAAAGCUAUGUUAAAUAUAUCGCUAGCUACUUACUUUUGGAAAAUUAAAACGAUUAAUUAACUACGAAGUGAAAAUAAAUAAAUAAAUGAAUAUGAAGUUGAAAAUAAGUCUCGCCGCCUGAACCCAAGGCCAAAACAUUCAUGAUAAGUUAGGUAAUUAAGUACAUGUUUUCAAGCUCUUCAUGAAGAAUAAUGUUAUUGAAAUAAAUCACAAAGACUCCCUGCGCAAAUUAUUACAUUGAUUUAAAAAACAAAUGCCAUAUCUUUAACAGGAUCGUGACUCAGUGACUGUUAAUUACUUUAUUCCCUGCUUGGCCAACAGCUGGUCACUAAACAAAAUCAUAAAAAUUUUAUAUUUAGUCAAAUUGGUCCCACUUGAUGACAUCCUUUUCAUACAUAAAAUUGUUUAACGUCAAGGUUAAAUAUGACAAGUUUGGUAGAGAAGGUAAAAAGGAAGUCUAUAUAAGGAGGGGAACGAGCUUUGUUUAUAGCACAAGUGAAACUCCACUUUAUUGAACGAUGGGGUCUCAAAUGGGCCACCUCUUUGCCACUCUUUUGGUAAUAUCAGUCUCUCUUAGCUACUUGCCGUUAGAAGCCUCAGCAAACAAUUACUACUAUACAGCUCCUCCCCCACCAAAGAAAUAUCCACCACCACCACCCCCGCCACCGGCUCACAAGUCUCCACCACCACCCCCGGUUUACAACUCCCCGCCACCUCCUCCACCAGUCUACGAGCCUGCUCCUGCACCAACUCCAAUUUCCUAUUCCCCGCCACCUCCUGUCUACAAGUCCCCACCACCACCGCCACCUGUGCACAAACCACCACCUCACCCUUACGUCUAUGCAUCUCCCCCUCCUCCUUACUACUAGUAGAUGCGGCCAUGAAUAGCUCAUGCUUUUAUGGUAAUCUCAUUUAUUUUUAAAACUGUACAUGUAAAAGACUAGUAGUUCAGAAUUACAUUAAGCAUUUCAAUUUUAAGUACCGUGUUCUGUUUAAUUGUGUUCCUAGUGAUUAAGUGACAAAUAAAAGAGCCUAAUUAAUUUUUUCUUGUAGGAGAGGCGACUGGUAUCCGAAUAAAGAAAGGUUUGAUGAAAAGAUUACUGAGAGCAAGAUAGCGAUCGAUCGAGUUGCCGCGUUUGAUUCUUUUUUAUUUUUAUUUUUUUUUAUGAAGAAUAAACAGCCACAUGUAGAAACAGAAAAGUUCUUGUCAUUUUCAUGCUUGUGGAUCGUUGCUGUGUGUCUCAAUUGAAUCUCUGGUGUGCCUUUUGUAAUUUUCAACUUUCAUGCAUGCAAAUGCGAGAACCUUUUAGUAUAAUAAACUUAAUAUACUUCCCAAGAUGGCCUUAUCUUGCGUUGAACUUUAUGUUCCUUUGGUGAUGAUUGUGACGUUUAAAAUUGAUGACUAUUGUUUUUGUAAACUCUGCAUGGAUUUUUCGUGCAACUAUAGAGCGCAUUGACUAGAGUCUUAUCCAUGAGGGUCCAUGCAGAUCAGUGUCUAUUAACCAAUAAUUAAUAUAACUUAAAAAACAUAGUUAAUGAGUCAGGCUCGAGUGCAAAUAUUCGUACAAAAUUUCGUGCUAAUGUGUACUUGAGUAUGAUUAUAAGUUUUAAUCAUUAUUAAUAAUUCACACGAUAAUAUUAAAAAAAAAUUCACAUCAAUUAAGUUAUAAUAUUGAUUACCUUAUAUAUUUACUGAUUUUAUAUUUAAAUUAAAUAAUGAUAGUUUUGGUUUUAUAUAAUGCAUCUGACAUUUUAUUAAGGAUAAAACUUAUUUCGAAAAUAAAAUUUUGAAAAAAUUAUUCUGUUAAUGUUUUUCAAAACAAUUGUAAGAUGAACUAAUUUUGCAUCCUUUUACACCUUCAAUACCAAUCUCGAAUGAUCUUGAGUACACGUAAGGAGAAAAGUUUAAAACUAUAUAAAGUAUGUACAUGACUCAAAAUAAGAUCUAAUUUUAUUGAUAUACCAUAUAAGUGACUAGUAAUAUAACAAAGUCUUUUAUAUUUUGUUUUGCCUUGAUCCACAUCAAGAUAAAUGAUUCACUUAAUUACUUGUGUGGCAAACAAAUACUAUUAUAGAAAAUGAAAAAAAAAAUGGUUUAUAAAUAUCCUAGAAGAAUAUAUGGUUAAACCAAUUUAAUAAAACUUAUUCCACUUGUUUUCAAUAUAUAUAUAUAUAUAUAUUGUUUUCAAUUCAUGGGUGGUUUUUCAUUUAAUUAAAGUAAAUGAAUAAAAUAUUUUUCACUAAAAUUAUGUAAAAAGCAUUCUAAUUAUUUUAAUAAUCAAUAGUCUUCUAUUAAUUUACUAGUCUUAUGUGUAAUUUAUAAAAUUUAUGUUUAUUAUGUCAUUGAUGUCAUGGUUCUGAUUCACGAGAGGUAUCAGCAAGUUAUUAAUUUGCAAGAUGAGCUGCCACCAUUAUUUAGGAGGACAGUAGCUGUGAGAAGGGAAGAAUUUAAGUUAUUAUCUGUCAUACUUGGUUACAACGACACAUUUGAAGUUAUGAAGGAUGUUCUUAGUAGAACUAUUGUUUAUUUGAGAGGCAAGCAUUGUGAUUGUAAACACAGCAAAAUGCAAAUAUUAAACCAUGGCAACUAUGCUACCAGUCAUAGCAAUUUAGAAUUCCCACAAUUCUAUUUUCUACAAAUUGAAAUAUCAAUAAAUAAAUGCCAAAAUAUUAGAGUGAAGAGAAGGAAAAUUUGAAUGCUGUCUUUUUCCAACAUAAUUAAGUAUCCAUAUGGUGUGACUCAACAGCCCCCUAAAAGAUCACCAGUGGCUGUUCCAAGCAUUGUGUUAGAAGGAUUUAUUAGAAAAAAAAAAAAAGAAAUUCAAAAAGGGCCAAAACAGGCACUUGCCAUUUCACUCUAAAAUUGCAAUGUUACUCUAUUUGAUACAAAUAAAGCAAUUUAUGGUAGGUUUACUAUAAGGAAAAUCUAUACAGAACAAAAAGACAUUCUUAACAAGCCCACUAAAAAGACUGAAUUUAACAUUUUGCUGAGUAAAAUCCCAAUGUAUCUUAAUUAAUAAAAGGGCCAUGAGAACUUUUCCGAAUUUUAUUAUUUUCAACCAUAAGCAACAAUGUUUAAAACCUGCUCAAGCACGAAUUUUUCAACUACUGUCGAUUUUGAUAAUAUUAGCUAUUUUGAGAACUAGAAUUACAAAAAAAAAUGCUGGAACUUUGUUAAAUGAAUUAUUAUAUUCCUUAUUAAAAGACAUAAUAAAACAUUACAAUCAAAGCUUAGGCAUGUGCAAGCCCGAAGGAGACAUUUCAAGGUCACAUGCAUUUGUUUUAAGAAACUUUUCAUUGUUAACUAAAAGAAACUAGAAAAUGAUGAUUUCAGAGGAUAUCGACAAUCUUCUGAAGGAACAAUAAUUUGAGAUCUUUGCAUUGUAAUUCUUAGCUAAAUAAAAUUUGCUUUCCACAUUAACUGAAUUUGGCCAGUAAUCACUUUUUUCCUUUUUCUUUUUUUAACUUCAAUAGCUAGUCAUGAGUACACUAUCAUAAAAUUAGCAAAAGUCCUCAAGAGAAACAAAAACAGGUAGAUGGAGUAUACCACACUUUCUAAGUAUCUAUCUAGUGAGCUAGUUACUUUCGUCAAAUACUUUAUGAAUCUUCACUAUACCCAAAGAAUAUAAUUGUAAAAUUUUAAUAAAAAACAAAAUGAAGAUUUUUAUGCUGCCAGCAUUAUCCUGAGAAGCAUUGCAAUCAUUUCAUAAAAAUGUUUCGAGAAAAUAAGAUUACAAGCGAGACCGAAGAAAUCUUGAAAACAUUCUAUGGGGAAAUUAAUUAUGCAGCUUUGGGAAUACGAAAUUAGAAUAAUAAUCUGAAAAUGAUCAAGCAAGAGAAGAAAUAUGAUAUCAACUUUCUUAUGUACCUGUGAACAGAGAAGACUGGGACAUGAGGAUCCUUCCAGAACAUCUUUUGAGUGCAAUUACCAUGAUGAACAUCCCAAUCAACAAUCAAAAUUCUGUUUAUUCACAGUUCUGGCUGUAAUAUACAUAACAGUAACAGAGGUUGCGGGGCCACAACUGAAUGAGAAAAACAGAUGUUUAAUUUUGGAUAGCAUAUCACUAUCUAUACAUUCAAGGAAUAACAUGGGUCCAAGAUUGAUAGAAAUAGGAAAACGAAUAAGGGAAAAAUGGAAAGAACGAAAACUGGCUUUCACUCUUUCAUUUAACUGAAAAGCAGCUGCAUUAGCAACAUUGUUGUAUAAACAAUAUUCCAUGGCUUUUUCUUGUUCAGCAUAAUGGCCAAGGGCUCAUUAUAGCAAAAGCAGAUCCAAUUCUCCUUUGGCAACACUCUCCGCAACGUCCUGAAACAAAAAGGCGAGAGGAGUUGAAAAAAAAAAAUGAAAUAGAUUCUUAAUUCCGAAUAUAGAACAACUGCAACAGCUCUACUCCGACUAGUAUAUUCUAUCAUUCGAUAAGGCAGAAAUAGCCUCAUCUAUACAAGUUUGUGAGAUUGCUAUAGAAUGGUAUGUAGCGGGCCAAAUUUAGAUUCAAACACGACACUUGAACAAAAUAAAGAAGUAGCAUGAAAGCACUGGACAGUUUCAUUUUCUGUGACUUAGAAAAAUUUUCUAAUAAAGAAUAUUUUUCGGAACUUAACCAUUCUGACCUUUGUAGGUAAAUUACUAUUUCAAAUAUUUUUGCAAAAUGUAUGGGAAGUCACUGAUAUUGCUGUAGUAAAAAAAACUUGAAAAGGAAGUCUACUUGGAAUUCAAAUUCAAAUGAAGCACAUUGCCAGGUUAGAUAUGAUUCACUUUGAAAAAUUGGUGUUCGAAAUUGCACUUAGUUUGAAGGGAAAGGAAAUGUAAAUCAAGAAAUUUAAUACGCUAUGGCUUCAACAGAUCAACUAUCGAGUCCCACGCCAGUCAAUCCUGAAUGCCUUGUAGUCGUUAGAAACUCAUCAGCUCUAUGCACAUAAAAUGAUUUUGUCCACUAGAUAAUCAGCAAACCUCUGUAUUAACACUUCAUGGAUAAUUAUCUGUAAGAUUAAAAAAAAAUUCCCCAUUCUAUCGACUAUAGAGGAUAGGAAGAUCUAUACUCAAAAUAAAGCCCAGGUAACAAGAGAAGAAAUCUCCAACAAAGAAAAGAAUAAUAAAAAACUUAAAAUUUGACGGUGUCCUCGUUUAAUCAGGGCAACUUUAAGUAUAGACGGUCAUCUAGGGCCCUAUAUAUUAGUAAGACCUCAUUGUAGUCACCUAGACCCCAUAUGUUAGGAAAACUUUUUUUUUUUUUUGGUAUUUCCUUAAUAUACUCAAAUUAAUAGAUUUUUUAAACUACUUAUAAUAAGAAGGCCUAUUUUUUAGGCCUCUAUUUAAUUAAUAAUUAUCUUACCGUUAAGAAUUUUUAAACAAAUUCUAUAUUUGAUAACCUUAAUAUUAAAGAACUAGAAUUAAUAGUAUUGUCUAACUGUUAAUUCAUUGUUAGUUUUCCAAGGAAAAAAAUUAUAUUCUUUAUCUAUUAAAAAAUUAAUUAUUUAACUUUAUAAAAUUAUUACCCUCUUCUCUCUAAAGAUAAUUAUUACAUUUUGAACUAAAAGAAUAGUUUCUAAAAAUAAUAAUUCUAAAGAAAGCAAAAAAAAAAAAAAAACUUCUUGCCUAUUUUUCUGUUUUGAAAUUUCUUAAUCUUGUUGAUUAUUGAUAUUCAACAUAUAGUUAAAGAUUUAUUAAAUUUUGAGCUCUUUUAUUUUAUUUUAUUUUUUUUUAGUGUUGAAACUAUUGAAUGUGAGGAGGCCUUCAUGAAAAAAUUUUGUUUGAAGUUCUCAAUACUCUAGAACUGGCCUGCACUUAAUAUAUAUACCUCAAUGACGGAGCUGGCAGCCAGGUAAGCAGCCUAUUAUGAAUUUUCAUUCAAAUAAAUCGAAUCCAUUUUUGAUGAGAUCUUUCUCCUUCUCGCAGCAAACUACUCAGAGCUUAUAUUUCUAGUGAACACAAUUCUCUAUGUGCAGAUGCAGUACAUAUUUGUCUUCUAUUGCUUUGCCAUUUAAAAGGACUACACCUACAACAAGAAAAAGCAACAAGACCGCAUCCAGAAAACACACUCACUUAGUCAAUUAAGUCAAAAGAAUGUCCCCUCACUAAGGCCUCGAUGAUUCAAAGAUUAACCACAGCAGUUUAUAGAAAAAUAAAUAAAUAAAAUUACACUAUCACAAAAUUUAGGUUCCCUGUGUAGUGCUAAAAAUGCACACGUGUUAGAGUAUUAUGAAAAAAAUAAAGCAUUGCUUAGUUUGGCAUUAGAUUCAAAUACAUGUGCAUAAAUCUUUGUGUUUUUAUACUAAAUAAUAAAGAGUUGGACUAUUGGCACCUCUUCAUUAAUCUUAUAAAACCCUUAUUAUAUUACAAUUACAUUUAAGGACAAAUAUAAAUAAAAUUAAACCAUUUAUAUUUUCUUUCUCUCUUUAGUUUUAUUUUACUUGCACAAUAUAAAUAUAUUUUAUUAUCAAUAAAAUAAUUUGAAUUUAAGAAGUAAUCUUCUAAGCCAAAACAAAAUUCUUGUAAUAAACAUAACAAAUUAAUUAAGAUAUAAUACAGUGGAAAAAUAAGUUAAAUAAAAUUUUAUCCCACAGCAAAAUUUUUUUUAAGGAUUCUCAAACUAAUUGCUAAACAAAAAACUUAUAGGUGGAAUAAAAUUGUAUUAGAUCCAUAAAAUAUUCAUUGUUUUCGAAGUAUAAUAUUUUUCUUACUUUUUUUAGAUUUUUUUCCUUAAAAAUUAAAUAAUAAAUAAAGUUUCAAGAGAGGAAUACAAAUAUUAAAACUGAAAGAGUGAGGAAAAUAUUAGAAAUUGAAAAAUUCAUAAAUGAAAAGUGUGUUCAUUUAGAAAAAGGGUAUUUUUGGCAUUAAAUGAAAUAUAAUUGAAAGAGUGGUUUCAAUAAGAUUUUGGAGGGGUGCUAAUAGUCCGACUCAAUAAUAAAAGCACUCUAGUUGAAGUUGAAAGGAAUUUAGACCUAUUGUAAAUAGAUGUAGGCAAUCAAAAAAAACUACUGUUCAAUGUUACUGUUCAUGGUUAUUGUUCAUCCACAUCAAGACUAUUAAUUUCCAAAAACACAAUAAAUUCCAGAAAUUAAAUGACACAGAGAUUUUUACGUGGUUCGGAUUAAUCAAUCCUACAUCCACGAGACUAUGCCCAAAUGAAAAGUAAUUCACUAAGUUGAGAUGUUAUAACCUAUGGAUUUACCAAACUUAAGAUUCUCACUUACAGUUUAUCACCAUACAAUUUACUCAACCUUAGACUGAAUCUGCUUCUCUUGAAAAAUUACUACCCCUCUUGAUCCAUGAUCCUCAAGACACUUUGCAAAGUGAUCAAUAGCAAUUCUUCAAUGUCCAGUGAUCCAGGAUCCACAUAGACUCUCCAUAAAGAUGAAAAGAAGAUAGGAAAAUAAAUCAACACAACAUUAUGCGCUAAAUUUGAAUUCUCUAGGAAGGAGAUCGAAUUUUGCUUCUUUGUUUUAUGUCAAAUUCCUCACUGCUUGUCCUAAGUACUGUAAUAAUAAAUGGCACUCAUCAUAACAUAUGAUACAAGUUAGAAUCAACAACAAAAGGGUUAAUCAAACCAUUGAUUUAAAUAGAGUCUAUAAUGACUAUAAUCCUGAAUUAUUUGACCUUAAAGCUCUUACCAGCAAAUGGGCAGUUGGGAUGAAAGUCCUCUAUAAACAACUUGAACGGAUAAGUAAAGAAUAAAAUAUGGCUUCACCAAAUAACGACAGAAAAUAUAAGCAAAAAAGCAAACAUUUUACCCAAGCAAGCCAUCUUGAAAAAGAAAAAGGCAAUAUAUGAGAAUCUUGUGGAAUCCAACUUGCUAACACACCAUGGGAUAUGCAAGGUGCUUAAGCAUUGUGGCUUUUGUUAUAAAAAAUCAAAAGAAGAAUCUAGCGAGAAAAGAUAUGUCACUAGAUGAAGAGCUUAUAAUUAGUAUGUGACAUGAGACCACUAAAAAGAUAAAAGAUGCUAGCUAAAAGCAUCAAUAAUUCAUAGAGAAUCCAAGGGAAAUGAUAAGGCUUAUUAGAAUCCUUACCUCAACCAUAUGAAGAUUGUUAACCAUGAAAAAAAAAGACAAUAGUUGUCUUCAAUAAUGCAAAGGGAAGGGCCAGCUUGUCUCUAGGAAGUCUACCAUGUAGCAAGUGCUAUGUAAAAAGAGAUAAUCUCAUCUCUAAAAUCUAUAUGUGUCAUGUAAGAAGGGAUUAUGUUAUCUGUUCAAGUCUAUAAAUAGGGUCAUGUAAGAUAGGAGAUAUAUCACUCACGAAUAUACUCUUAUUCUCAUAUGUAUUCUCUCUUUAAAUUCAUAAAUAAAUUGAAUAAAAACUCUUUUUGAGUGAAAUUAUCAUCUUUAUAUAUAUCUUAUUUAGACUUGAGAAAAAAAAUCAAGAAUCUUACAUGCCAAUACUUGUGUUAAAUGAAAAAGAUUUCAUGUUAUUAAGCACUCUUCUAAAGGCAAUUGCAAGGGAUUCACAUAGAUAGAUGUUAUUAGGCAAGUCUGUAGUGUGUUGCAUUAGGCUGUGUGGAACAGUUGCAUGAGUGAUCUUGCAUGAUGCGUGCAGCUAGAGCAGUGUUGACCAUGGGCCAAUCUAUGGUCUCGGGGAAUUAGCGAAUUUAUUCCCGAAUUUUGAGGAAUAGUACAUUGGCUAGUACACAGAAUUAUCUUAUUAUAUUUUUCACAAACAGAAUCAUGUUAGACCUAGAUUAUCUUUUAAAUCUUACAAGAUAUAAAGUGAUAAGUGUAACUUAAUUUUCAUAAAACAUUGAACGAUAAGUCAACGAACUUCUAGAUGCCACAGGUGAUCUAGACUUUAGUUAGGAAUUUAAGUUAUUUAUGCAAUGAAAAUUGUUAAAACUCGAUUAAUUACAAGCAAACGCUUGUAUAAAGACAUAAAGAGAAUAAACUUUGAAGAUAACAAUGAAAUAUAUGAGACCUUUUAGGAAGAAAAUAGAAUAACAUUAAUAAAAUCUAUUUAACCAAUCUUGAAAUAAUUUAAGACUGAUGCAAAACAAAUAACAAUAAGUCUAUUGAUGGAUAAUAACAAUAAUAAUGAUGUGAACUUUUUGAUUCGGAAUGUUGAAUUUAGAUUACAAUAUCAAUGUGAAAGGAUUGAUGGCAUGUACCUUGGUUGGGAAAAUAGAUUGGACACAUAUAUAGAUUUGCUGGAAGAAAAAAUCUAGUUUAUGUCUCAAGAGAGACAAGAAAUUAUGAGUGCCGGUGCCAUGUAUAUUAAGAUUUUUAUGAAUUUGAUAAUCAUUUAGAUCUUUAUAACAUUAUAAUUAAAACUUCAAAAAGCUUUAAAAAUAGAUGUAGAAGAGAUUGGAAAAAAAAUCGUCUAGUUGUUCAAAACCAAUUAGACAAAAAUAAAAGAUGAAAUCCUUGAAUUAUAUAAAUUAUAUAAUUUCACAAAACUUUGGCAUAUAUUACAAAAAAGUCCUUCUGGUGCUGAGUAUGGGUACUCAGUGCGGUAUAAAUGCUGAUUUUGCUUUUUCUUUUGGAAAUAAAUUACUGCAUCUUAUUUCAUGCUUUGUUCAACUAUAUGCACAGGUCCUUAGCAUGUUGAUUGAUGUUGAAUAUAUGUUAAAAGAUCCACAAACUACCAACGACAACAAAUGAAAUUAAACUAAUUAAUUAAUACAUAAUGACUUAGUUGUUUCCACUACUCGUUAUUUUAGGAUUUUAAGAUUUUAUUACUUUAUCUAUUUGAUAUUUCUUUUUUAAAUUAAGGUGUGUGUCUUAAUUUUUUAUUUCUAUUAUAAUUAUGAUGUAGUUUCCCUUUUAAGUUAACUUAGCUUAGUAGAUUUACUCUAUUAUAAAUAGAGAGGUCUUGUUAUUCUUUUUAUAACUUCAACUUCAAUUAUUCAAUUAAAAACCUCUAUUUCAUAAUUUCGUUUGAUAUUAUCUAUUAAAAAUCUCUCUUGUAGAGUUGUUUAGAUUAGAACAUCAUCUAACCUUGCUUAAUGCAAUAUUAAAAAUCUCAUUGAGUUAUUUGAAUUAGAACGAGAUCUAAUCACACUUCGAUUAGAACGUAACUUACUCGUGUUGGCUUGGUUCAGUACUUAAACAAUAUGUAGUGUUUCUCUUCCGCUACGUUGCUCCGUCGGUUAACAUUCCUGGGAGAAAAUUAAUUUCACAGUGAGAUAAAAGCAUUAAAAGGAGUUCAUAAGAAAGUAAAAUUAAAGCUAUGUUAAAUAUAUCGCUGGCUACUUAUUUUUGGGGAAAUUAAAACGAUUAAUUAACUCCGAAGUGAAAAUAAAUAAAUAAAUGAAUAUGAAGUUGAAAAUAAGUCUCGCCGCCUGGACCCAAGGCCAAAACAUUCAUGAUAAGUUAGGUAAUUAAAUACAUGUUUUCAAGCUCUUCAUGAAGAAUGAUGAUAUUGAAGUAAAUCUCAGAGACUUCCUGUUCAAAUCAUUACAUUGAUACAAAAAAUGCCAUAUCAUUAAAAGGAUCGUGACUUUUAAUUACUUUAUUCCCUGCUUAGGCAACAGCUAGCCACUAAACAAAAUCAUAAAAUUUUAUAUUUAGUCAAAUUUGUGCCAACUUGAUGACACCGUUUUCAAACAUAACCAGAAUCAUUUAGUUACUAAUGUUUAACAUCAAGGUUAUAUAUGACAAGUUUGGCAGAGCAGGUAAAAAGCCGAGUCUAUAUAAGGAGGGGAAGGAGCUUGGUUUAUAACACAAGCGAAACUCCACUUUUUAUUGAACGAUGGGGUCUCAAACGGGCUAUCUCUUUGCCACGCUUUUGGUAAUAUCAGUCUCUCUUAGCCACUUGCCAUUAGAAGCCUCCGCAAACAAUUACUACUACACAUCUCCUCCCCCACCAAAGAAAUAUCCACCACCACCACCUCCCCCUCCCCAGUACAAAUCUCCACCACCUCCACCACCGGUUCACAAGUCUCCACCACCUCCUCCACCCGCCUGCGAGCCUGCUCCGCCACCAACUCCAAUUUUCCAUCAUCCGCCACCUCCUGUCCCCAAGUUCCCACCACCACCGCCUCACCCUUACGUCUAUGCAUCUCCCCCUCCUCCUUACUACUAGUAGAAAGCGGCCGUGAAUAGCUCAUGCUUUUAUGGUAAUCUCAUUUAUUUUUAAAACUGUACAUGACUAGUAUUUCAGAAUUACAUUAAGCAUUUCAAUUUUAAGCACCGUGUUCUGUUUAAUUGUGUUCCUAGUGAUUAAGUGACAAAUAAAAGAGACUGAUUAAUUUUUUCUUGUAGGAGAGGCGAAUGGUAUCCGAAUAAAGAAAUGGUUUGAUGAAAAGCGUACUGAGAGCAAGAAUGCAAGAUAGCGGUCGAUCGAGUUGUCGCGUUUGAUUCUUUUUUAUCUUUUUUUUUUUUGAAGAAUAAACAGCCACAUGUAGAAGCAGAAAAGUUCUUGUCAUUUUCAUGCUUGUGGAUUGUUGCUGCGUGUGUCAAUCAAAUCUCUGGUGUGUCUUUUGUAAUUUUCAAUUUUCA